CUACGGAGGAUGCAAGCGUUAUCCGGAUUUAUUGGGUUUAAAGGGUGCGUAGGCGGUUUGCUAAGCGGGAGGUGAAAUGCCGGCGCUCAACGUCGGAAGUGCCUCCCGAACUGGUGGACUUGAAUGACUCUGCCGUGGGAGGAAUGUGUAGUGUAGCGGUGGAAUGCUUAGAGAUUACACAGAACACCGAUUGCGAAGGCAUCUCACGAAGGGUUGAUUGACGCUGAGGCACGAAAGCGUGGGGAUCAAACAGGAUUAGAUACCCUGGUAGUCCACGCAGUAAACGAUGAUGGCUAACCGCUGGUUUUUUCGGAUCAGUGGCCAAGCGAAAGCGAUAAGCCAUCCACCUGGGGAGUACGACCGCAAGGUUGAAACUCAAAUGAAUUGACGGGG
This 393-nucleotide ribosomal RNA is filed under the name uncultured bacterium. RNAcentral describes it as "partial 16S ribosomal RNA". It matches the Rfam family "Bacterial small subunit ribosomal RNA", at positions 523 to 918 of the family's 1533-position model. The record is from RNAcentral.